GAAUAUUGCACAAUGGGCGAAAGCCUGAUGCAGCGACGCCGCGUGAGGGACGAAGGCCUUCGGGUUGUAAACCUCUUUCGGCCCCGACGCAGCGAAAGUGACGGUAGGGGAAGAAGAAGCGCCGGCCAACUACGUGCCAGCAGCCGCGGUAAGACGUAGGGCGCAAGCGUUGUCCGGAUUUAUUGGGCGUAAAGAGCUCGUAGGCGGCCUGUCGCGUCGACUGUGAAAACUCACGGCUCAACCGUGGGACUGCAGUCGAUACGGGCAGGCUAGAGUUCGGUAGGGGAGACUGGAAUUCCUGGUGUAGCGGUGAAAUGCGCAGAUAUCAGGAGGAACACCGGUGGCGAAGGCGGGUCUCUGGGCCGAUACUGACGCUGAGGAGCGAAAGCGUGGGGAGCGAAC
RNAcentral lists this ribosomal RNA (402 nucleotides) under uncultured bacterium. RNAcentral describes it as "bacterial SSU rRNA". It matches the Rfam family "Bacterial small subunit ribosomal RNA", at positions 359 to 773 of the family's 1533-position model. The record is from RNAcentral.